RNAcentral lists this ribosomal RNA (406 nucleotides) under uncultured bacterium. Its description in RNAcentral is "partial 16S ribosomal RNA". It matches the Rfam family "Bacterial small subunit ribosomal RNA", at positions 30 to 526 of the family's 1533-position model. The record is from RNAcentral.
AUUGAACGCUGGCGGCAGGCCUAACACAUGCAAGUCGAGCGAGCGGCGGACGGGUGAGUAAUGUAUGGGGAUCUGCCCGAUAGAGGGGGAUCACUACUGGAAACGGUGGCUAAUACCGCAUACUAUCGGAUGAACCCAUAUGGGAUUAGCUAGGAGGUGGGGUAACGGCUCCCCUGGGCGACGAUCCCUCGCUGGUCUGAGAGGAUGACCAGCCACACGGGAACGGAGACACGGUCCAGACGCCUAAGGGAGGCAGCAGUGGGGAAUAUUGCACAAUGGGCGCAAGCCUGAUGCAGCCAUGCCGCGUGUAUGAAGAAGGCCUUCGGGUUGUAAAGUACUUUCAGCGAGGAGGCGUUACUCGCAGAAGAAGCACCGACUAACUCCGUGCCAGCAGCCGCGGUAAUAC